ACCUAAGGUCAGACAAGACUACCCACUGAGUUUUAAGUAUAUCAAUAAGCAAAGGAAAAGAAACUAACUAGGAUUCCCUUAGUAACGACGAGUGAACCGAGAAAAGCCCAAGCUUAGAAUCGGGCAGCCUCGCUGUCCGAAUUGUAGCUUGGAGAAGCAUCCUCAACAACAGACCUAGCACAAGUCCCCUAGAAUAGGGCAUUCGAGAGGUUGACACUCCCGUCGUGCUUGGACCCUGUCGUACCACGAGGCGUUGUCGGCGAGUCGGGUUGUUUGGGAAUGCAACCAUAAUGCGACGAUAAAUUCCAUCCAAGGCUAAAUAUGGGCGAGAGACUGAUAGCAAACAAGGACUUUGAAAAGAGAGUCAAAGAGUGCUUGAAAGUGAUGGGAGGGAAGCGGAUGGGGAUCGGCGAUGUGCCCCGGUCGGAUGUGGAAUGUUGUUAAACGGUCUGCUAGUCGGCUUGGAGCAUAGACUAGUGCGGAUCGGGACAGAGACUAAUGCCCAGGCUGUAGAUAUGCUCGCGGAGAUGCCAUUACCUUGAUCGUAGAGGGACAGCGAGCACCAUAGGUGUGUUUCGACAUUUGCAUGCUCCCGGUGCUGGCCUACAGGUUCUCCAUUCGACCCAUCUUGAAACACGAGCCAAGGAGUCUGAAUGGGUGUGAGUUAAUAGGUGAGUAAACCCGUAAGAAAAGGAAGUUGAUUGGUAAAAUCCCCCCGAGGAGUGCAUCGUCNNCCUUGAUCUUCUGAGAAGGGUACAAGUGUGAACAUACCUGUCGCGACCCGAAAGAUGGGGAACUAUGCUUGGGUGGGGCGAAGCGAGAAGAAACUCCAAUGGAGGCCCACAACAAUACUAACGUGCAGAUUGUUCGUUUGACUUGGGUAUAUGGGCGAAAGACUAAUCGAACUAUCUAAGUAGCUGGUUUCCUCCAAAGUUUCCCUUAUGAUAGUUGGAGCUCACGUGCAAGUUCUAUCGGGUAAAGCCAAUGAUUAAAGGCAUCGCGGGUAUAACACUCUCAGCCUACUCUCAAACUUUAUAUAAGUAGGACGGGGCGGCGGCUUUCUUGAGCCGUCCCAUGGAAUCAAGAGCUCCAAGCAGCCAUUUUUGGUAAGCAGAACUUGCAAUACGGAUGAAUUGGAAGUUGGGUUACGGUUCCCAACUGCACGCUAACCUAGAUACCACAAAGGGUGUUGGUCGAUUAAGACAGCAGGAUGGUGGUCAUGGAAGUCGAAAUCCGUUGAGUGUAUAACAACUCACUUGCCGAAUCAACUAGCCCUGAAAAUGGAUAGCGCUCAAGUGCGCGAACUAUACCCGACCAUUGGGGCAAUUGCCAAGGCACGAUGAGUAGGAGGGCGACAGUCGUUUCAAAACUUGGUGCGAGCCAGGACAGAACGACCGUCAAUGCAGAUCUUGGCGAUAGUAGCAAAUAUUCAAAUGAGAACUUUGAAGACAAAAGAGGGGAAAGGUUCCAUGUGAACGACACUUACACAUAGGUUAGUCGAUCCUAAGGGUUAGGGAAAGCCCGACAGAUAGCUCGUUCUGUGCGUGCUCCGAAAGGGAAGCGGGUUAAAAUUCCUGAACUGGGAUGUGGUGGCUGGCGGUAAUGCUAGGGAGUUUAGAGACGUCGGCGGGGGCCUUGGGAAGAGUUAUCUUUUCUAUUAGUUUGUCUACCUUGGAAACAGCUCAGUCGGAGGUAGGGUCCAGCGACUGGAAGAUCACCUGCACGUUGCAUGGUGUCCGGUGUGCCCCCGGCGGCACUUGAAAAUCCGAAAGAGCGAGUGCCGUUCACGCCCGAUCGUACUGAUAAUCGCAUUAGGUCUCUAGAGUCAACAGUUUCUGGUUGAUGGAACAAUAAAGGCAAAGGAAGUCAUCAAAAUGGAUCUGUAACAUCGGGAAAAGCAUUGGCCUUUGAGGGCUGGGCACGGAGGUCGCAGUCUAGAACCCGUCGACUGUCGGUGGACUGCUCGAGAUUCUCCCGUGGAGAGAGCGGGUCACCGCAUGUCGACUGGAACGGCUCCCUCAGGGGCCUUCCCCAAGCGUCGAAAAGCCAACUCAGAACUGGUACGGACAAGAAGAAUCCGAUUGUUUAAUCAAAACAAAGCAUUACGAUGGUCCCUACGGAUGCUAACGCAAUGUGAUUUCUGCCCAGUGCUUUGAAUAUCAAAGUGAAGAAGUUCAACCAAACGUGGGUAAACAACGAGAGUAACUAUGACUUUCUUAAGGUAGCAAAAUGACUCGUUAUCUAACUAGUGAUGCACAUGAAUGGAUUAACAAGAUUCCCACUAUCCCUAUCUACUAUCCAGCAAAACCACAGCUAAGGAAAUGGGCUUGGUAGAAUCAGAAGGGAAAGAAAACUCUAUUGAGUUUGACUCUAGUCCGAUUUUGUGAAAUGACUUUAGUGGUGUAGGAUAAGUGGGAGCCCUCGGGUGAAAGUCAAAUACCACUACUUUUAAUGUUAUUUUACUUAUUGCGUGAAUCGGAGAUGGGGCCUACACCCUUUUUUUGGAUCUAAGGUCGCCUCUACAGCCGAUCCGGGCGGAAGAUAUUGUCAGGUGGGGAGUUUGGCUGGGACGGCACAUCUGUUAAAGAUAACUUAGGUGUCCUAAGAUGAGCUCAACGAGAACAGAAAUCUCGUGUGGAAUAGAAGGGUAAAAGCUCGUUUGAUUCUAAUUCCCGGUACGAAUACGAACUGUGAAAGCGUGGCCUAACGAUCCUUUAGACCUUCGAAAUUUGAAGCGUUCAUAGUGACGUUGCUUUUUCAUCCUUCAAUGUCGGCUCUUCCUAUCAUUGUGAAGCAUAAUUCACCAAGUGUUGAAUUGUUUACCCACUAAUGGGGAACGUGAAUUGGGUUUAAACCAUCGUGAGACAAGUUAUUUUUAUCCUACUAAUGAAAGUGUUGCAAUAGUAAUUCAACCAAGUGCGAGAGGAACCGUUGAUUCACACAAUUGGUCAUUGCACUUGGUUGAAAAGCCACUGGUGUGAAGCUACCGUUCGUUAGAUUAUGGCUGAAUGCCUCUAAGUCAGAAUCUGGGCUAGAAGCAAUGGGUAUUGACUAAGCCGGCAUGACGGAUGAGCCACGAUGGCCGUUUUGAAGUACAAUUCCCAUCCAGCGGCAGGCAAAAUCCUUUGUAGACGACUUAAAUAUGCGACGGGUAUUAUAAGAAGCAUAGUGGACUUACUUCCAAGAUCCUUUGAGAUUCACC
RNAcentral lists this ribosomal RNA (3202 nucleotides) under Catharanthus roseus (Madagascar periwinkle). RNAcentral describes it as "eukaryotic LSU rRNA". It matches the Rfam family "Eukaryotic large subunit ribosomal RNA". The record is from RNAcentral. Lineage: Eukaryota; Viridiplantae; Streptophyta; Magnoliopsida; Gentianales; Apocynaceae.